AGGAGUGUAGCUCAAUUGGAAGAGUACCAGGUUUCGACCCUGGAUGUUGUAGGUUCGAGUCCUAUCACUCCUGCC
This 75-nucleotide transfer RNA is filed under the name Leptolyngbya boryana NIES-2135. RNAcentral describes it as "tRNA-Arg". It matches the Rfam family "tRNA". Rfam says of the family: Transfer RNA (tRNA) molecules are approximately 80 nucleotides in length. Their secondary structure includes four short double-helical elements and three loops (D, anti-codon, and T loops). Lineage: Bacteria; Bacillati; Cyanobacteriota; Cyanophyceae; Leptolyngbyales; Leptolyngbyaceae. The record is from RNAcentral.